Molecule: ribosomal RNA, 290 nt
Filed under: uncultured Citrobacter sp.
Lineage: Bacteria; Pseudomonadati; Pseudomonadota; Gammaproteobacteria; Enterobacterales; Enterobacteriaceae
Description: partial 16S ribosomal RNA
Rfam family: Bacterial small subunit ribosomal RNA
Source: RNAcentral
GGGGAACGCGAAGAACCUUACCUACUCUUGACAUCCAGAGAACUUAGCAGAGAUGCUUUGGUGCCUUCGGGAACUCUGAGACAGGUGCUGCAUGGCUGUCGUCAGCUCGUGUUGUGAAAUGUUGGGUUAAGUCCCGCAACGAGCGCAACCCUUAUCCUUUGUUGCCAGCGGUUCGGCCGGGAACUCAAAGGAGACUGCCAGUGAUAAACUGGAGGAAGGUGGGGAUGACGUCAAGUCAUCAUGGCCCUUACGAGUAGGGCUACACACGUGCUACAAUGGCAUAUACAAAG